This 2556-nucleotide small RNA is filed under the name Arabidopsis thaliana (thale cress). Its description in RNAcentral is "ATSL094930". The record is from RNAcentral. Lineage: Eukaryota; Viridiplantae; Streptophyta; Magnoliopsida; Brassicales; Brassicaceae.
AUCAUAAUUAAAUAAACUAUUUCAAGAGAUAUAAUAUAUUAAUGUAUACAUUCAUUUUUUCAUUUUAUAUCUAUUAAUCAUUAGUAAUUUUAUUGCAGAUAUGUUAUGGGAAAAUCAAAAUAGUAGGGUAUUGUUUGUUUGAUCAAUUAGGUAGUGCAUCUGGGUGAUCAUCUAGAAGAUCCAUUCAGAUACAUUAUUUGGAUGAUGUUGAUUUCUAAAGUUGAAAGUACAUCUGGAUAAAUCAUAUGAAUGCAGAUGUGUUCGUUUGAAUUAUUUUUUAAUAAUGUGCAUCUGCAUCUCAAUGCAUAAUGUACCAAAUAACUAAAAAGGACAUAUAUUUAUCUUAGUGUUAUUUUUAUGAUGUAAAUUAUAUUUACAUCUUCAUUAUUCUUCUAAUAAUAUGUCUCUCCCGCUUGAAUAUAAGACCUGUAAUAAAAAUAAAGCAUAUCACCAAAUAAAAGUGUAAUACUUAAUUCUCUAUAUAUUUGUAAUACUUCAAAAAGCCAAACGUGACAAAUCUCCUUCACAUGACAAAAAUCUCCUUCACAUGACAAAGGCAAAUAAUGCUAAAUCACAAUGGAAUGAAGAGGAUUAAGCAAGUAGCAAGAACAAUUGCUAAUUAUAGAUAUUGAGUCAUAAGGUUUAACUAGCCAAAAGUGUUAAUUUGGAGCUUCCAGUCUAUAAAGUGAUUCUGAUUCAUAAAAAUAAGAGUGGCUGAGACGUUAUAGUUAGACCGAGAGUGAAGUAAAGUAAUACUACUUUAAAAGGAAGUUCAUGGACGUCAAACCAAGAACGCAUCACCGCACCAUCUGCAUAAGAAAGAAUAGACAUAAGGUUUUUUCAAACACAUAUGGAUUAAGAGGCAUGACACCAACAUGUACCACAGAGAAAUCAUAGAUAAUCAAACCAUAAGUCAUGAACAACGAAAUCAAUAACAGUAAGAAACAUUAACAUGAAUGCAGAUCAAAAAUAGAAAAGGAAGAACGUACUGUUGCAGCCUACAACUUAUAGAUCAAAAAUAGAAAAGGAAGAACAGAUACAUACAUAGAUUCCUUUCAAAUAUCAUUAUAAGAGAAAAAGGGAACACCCCAUAGAAAUUUUAACUAAAGUAGCUAAGUAAAACAGCUUUGUAAUCUCUAAAAUUUUUAACAUCUGCAGCAAGCAUGAGAGAUAUAUAGAGACCAAUUCUGAAAUUCUAAAACAGUUAAGAAACUAACAACACUUAAAAGUCUAUAAUCAGUUCAAAAGUCAUGAAACCUAAACACUCCUAAUAGAGAUAAAACUCCUAAUAGAGGAGACAAGUAGAAAAAGAAUCAUAACAACAAAUCUACUGCAAACUUGACCUAAUCAGGAAGAAGAUAACUCAAACAAUCUAUAACAGAAAUUAGAAAAACAAAAGCGGGGAACAAAAAUAAUCAGUGAACAAACUCAUCAAGCAAAAAAUGCAACUUCAAUCACAAUCUACCCUAAUUCAGACUCGAAAGUAACUCCUGCGGUGAAAAAUCUUAACUUUACCCAAAGAAAAAACACCUCUUGAAAUCAACUAAACAAGCUAAGAAGUAAGAAUCAAUGUGUUACGAAGCUAUAUACAAGACUUAAAAUGGGUUUACGAAAUAACUCACCAAGGUCACACUGUUGGUAAAACUUGUGUACAUCUGCAAAACAUAAAACAUGAAUAAACCCAUAAUCGUCAAAUCUCAGCUAAUGAAUAAACCGAGGCUAGGAAGAAGAAAGCCGAAAUCUUUGAGUUUUUUCCUCAGCAAAUUAAGAAAACCCAAUUGAAUAAACGAGCAAUAAACAUACAACAAACUUGCAAAUCUACAAAAAGUAUUUUAGAUUCGAGCAAACGAAACAGAGUAUAUAGAAAGAGAGAUUGAGCUGACCAGUAGAGAGAGCCUUGUGUUGAAUAGAAGCUUGACCCAGAAAGGAGAAUGGUGUAAGUAGAGACUGGAGUUUUCGAUUUUUGAUUUUCCUCUUCACUUUUCUGAAAUCGAGAACAAGCGAUCCAAUUUUGAACUACACCCAAAAAAUCUAUUACAAGUAAGAAUCGAAAAGAGAUAUGUAUACCUAGAACCGAGCUAAAGCUAAUGGAGAAGCAGAUCGAGAGCUAACGAUAAUGGAGAAGCAGAUCGAAGAGUGAGAGAUAAAGGGAAGUGAAGUACCCUAAAAAUCUAUUUUUCUUCUUUUGUCUAGAAUUGUUGAGAACCGAGGGAUAAGAAAUGGUUCCGUGCAAUUUUCAAAUUUUAAAGAGAUAUUUAAGUCAUUUGCUAUUUUUGGCUACAGCUAAUGCAUCUCAAUGCACCGAUCAAACUCAGCUGAAUUUGUUGAUUUUUUUGGAUGAGUUUUAUAAACUCUACUAACUAAUGCAUUCAACUGUUCUAACAAAUUGUGUUCAAACAAACAUCAAUUGUCAUCUGCACCUAGAUGGAUCAGUCAACUGAUCAAACGAACAACACCUAGAUAUUACAAUUUUUGUACUUUUGUAUUUGAAUUAAAAAUAUUAAAUAUUGUAAUAAUUAUCACAAUAAAUCUAUUUACUAUAUUUAUAAAUAAAAU